RNAcentral lists this long non-coding RNA (2439 nucleotides) under Anas zonorhyncha (Eastern spot-billed duck). Its description in RNAcentral is "lncRNA (ENSAZOG00000005246.1)". Lineage: Eukaryota; Metazoa; Chordata; Aves; Anseriformes; Anatidae. The record is from RNAcentral.
UGGGGUUUUUGGGGACACUGGGGACAUUUGGGGACAUUUGGGGUCAUUUAUUUGGGGCCAUUUGGGACCAUUUGGGUGGGUUUGGGGGACAUUUAGGGUGGUUUUGGGGCCAUUUUGGGUGUUUGGGGGGCCAUUUUGGGUGCUUUUGGGGCCAUUUUGGGUGCUUUUGGGGGAUAUUUUGGGAUUUUGGGUUUUUGGGACCAUUUUGGGGCCAUUUUGGGGCCAUUUGGGACCAUUUGGGUGGGUUUGGGGGACAUUUAGGGUGGUUUUGGGGCCAUUUUGGGUGUUUGGGGGGCCAUUUUGGGUGCUUUUGGGGCCAUUUUGGGUGCUUUUGGGGGAUAUUUUGGGAUUUNNNNNNNNNNGACACUGGGGACAUUUGGGGCCAUUUGGGGCCAUUUUGGUGGUUUUGGGGGGACAUUUGGUGGGUUUGGGGGCCAUUUUGGGUGCUUUUGGGGUUAUAUUUUGGGAUUUGGGGUUUUUGGGACCAUUUUGGGGUCAUUUUGGGGCCAUUUGGGACCAUUUGGGUGGGUUUGGGGGACAUUUAGGGUGGUUUGGGGGCCAUUUUGGGUGGUUUUGGGGCCAUUUUGGGUGGUUUUAGGGCCAUUUUGGGUGCUUUUGGGCUUAUAUUUUGGGAUUUUGGGUUUUUGGGACCAUUUUGGGGCAAUUUUGGGGCAAUUUGGGACCAUCCUUGCCCUCCUUCCCCCGCAGGUCCCCCCAGAAGAAGACGCGGCCACCCCGCGGCCCCCGGUGACGUCCCCGCGUCCCCCCCGGGCCACCAAACGUCCCCAAAUUUCCCCAAAUCCCCCCUUGGGGGCCCCAAAACCACCCAAAAAGCCCCGGCUGGCCCCGGGGGGCCGCUGUCCCCAAACGUCCCCAAAUUCGUGUCCCCAAAUGUCCCAAACGACCCCAAAUUCGUGUCCCCAAACGUCCCCAAAUUCGUGUCCCCAAAUGUCCCCAAAUUCGUGUCCCCAAACGUCCCAAAAGUCCCGAACCUCAAUGUCCCCAAAUUCGUGUCCCCAAAUGUCCCAAACGACCCCAAAUUCGUGUCCCCAAACGUCCCCAAAUUCGUGUCCCCAAAUGUCCCCAAAUUCGUGUCCCCAAAUGUCCCAAACGACCCCAAAUUCAUGUCCCCAAACCUCGAGGACCUCCGAUUUGUCCCCGUGUCCCCAAAUGUCCCCAAAUUUGUGUCCCCAAACCUCCUCGAGGUCCUCAAACCCCUCCCCAUGUCCCCAAAUGUCCCAAAUGUCCCCAAAUUUGUGUCCCCAAACCUCCUGGAGGUCCUCCAAGCCAUGUUCUCAACGGUUGAGGGCCUCCAACCCAACCUCGUGUCCCCAAAUGUCCCAAACGACCCCAAAUUUGUGUCCUUUGACCUCCUCGACCUCCUCCAACUCUUCUCCUCCAACCUCCUCGAGGUCCUCCAGGCCAUGUUCUCAACGGUUGAGGGCCUCCACCCUGGCCCCGUGUCCCCAAAUGUCCCCAAAUUCGUGUCCCCAAACCUCCUUGAGGUCCUCCAACCCAUCCCAACCUCUUCAUACCUCUUCAAGGUCCUCCAGCUCUUGGCCUCCAACCUCGUUGGGGGCCUCCACCCCAUCCCCAUGUCCUCAACCCUCCUUGACCUCCUCCAGCUCUUGUCCUCCAACCUCUUCGAGGUCCUCCACCCCAUCCCAACCUCCUCCAACGUCCUUGACCUUCUCCAACCCACGUCCUCCAACCUCCUCGAGGUCCUCCAAGCCAUGUUCUCAAACGUUGAUGUCCUCCAACCCAUCUCUACCUCCUCCAACCUCCUCAACCUCCUCCAACUCUUGUCCUUCACCCUCCUUGAGGUCCUCCACCCCACAUCCUCCAACCUUCUCGAGGUCUUCCAAGCCAUGUUCUCAACGCUUGAGGUCCUCCAACCCAUCCCGACCUCCUCCAACCUCCUUGACCUCCACCCCAUGUCCUCAACCCUCCUUGAGGUCCUCCAACUCUUCUCCUCCAACCUCUUUGAGGUCCUCCAACUCAUCCUCAUGUCCUCCAACCUCCUCGAUCUCCUCCACCUCUUCUCCUCCAACCUCCUUGAGGUCCUCCAACCCAUCCCCACCUCCUCCAACCUCCUCCAACUCUUCUCCUCCAACCUCUUCGAGGUCCUCCAAGCCAUGUUCUAAAAGGUUGAGGUCCUCCACCCCAUCCCAACCUUCUCCAACCUCCUCCACCCCACAUCCUCCACCCCCGUUGAGGUCCUCCAACCCAUCCCAACCUCCUCAACCCUCCUCAACCUCUAACCUCUUCCACCUCUUCUCCUCCAACCUCUUCGAGGUCCUCCACCCCAUCUCUACCUCCUCCAACCUCCUCCAACCCAUGUCUUAGAACCUCCUCGAGGUCCUCCAAGCCAUGUUCUCAAAGGUUGAGGUCCUCCAACCCAUCCCAACCUCCUCCAACCUCCUCAACCUCCUCCACCCC